GAUGGACGCUGGCGGCGUGCCUAAUACAUGCAAGUCGAGCGAACGGACGAGAAGCUUGCUUCUCUGAUGUUAGCGGCGGACGGGUGAGUAACACGUGGAUAACCUACCUAUAAGACUGGGAUAACUUCGGGAAACCGGAGCUAAUACCGGAUAAUAUUUUGAACCGCAUGGUUCAAAAGUGAAAGACGGUCUUGCUGUCACUUAUAGAUGGAUCCGCGCUGCAUUAGCUAGUUGGUAAGGUAACGGCUUACCAAGGCAACGAUGCAUAGCCGACCUGAGAGGGUGAUCGGCCACACUGGAACUGAGACACGGUCCAGACUCCUACGGGAGGCAGCAGUAGGGAAUCUUCCGCAAUGGGCGAAAGCCUGACGGAGCAACGCCGCGUGAGUGAUGAAGGUCCUCGGAUCGUAAAACUCUGUUAUUAGGGAAGAACAUAUGUGUAAGUAACUGUGCACAUCUUGACGGUACCUAAUCAGAAAGCCACGGCUAACUACGUG
Molecule: ribosomal RNA, 497 nt
Filed under: uncultured bacterium
Lineage: Bacteria
Description: partial 16S ribosomal RNA
Rfam family: Bacterial small subunit ribosomal RNA
Source: RNAcentral